AUGGCGGCGCCAUUGCCUGGGCCUACAGUUCCCAGCAUGCAAUGCGCCAAGGGCGGUUGGUUUGUUUUGUCUGUCUCCUCCAUCGCUGGCAGCAGGAAGGAAGGAAGGAAGGAAUGCAGUCAGCUCAGGUUCGCUCUGGACCAGCUUCUGACCGAGAGAAAAGGAACAGAAUCCUAGAUAAACAUGCUCCAUCCAAAGGUGAAAACAGAAAAGACAGAUCUAGAGACCGCCAAUGCUCGAACCCGCCUUGAUGCUGUUCUGCAGUGCCUGCUGGAGAAGACCGAUGCUGACCGGUGUGUAUCGACAGAUACUUCA
This is a long non-coding RNA of Sceloporus undulatus (fence lizard), 315 nucleotides long. RefSeq lists it as uncharacterized. Lineage: Eukaryota; Metazoa; Chordata; Lepidosauria; Squamata; Phrynosomatidae. The transcript is spliced from 3 exons. The record is from RefSeq and is a predicted model, not a curated record.